CAAAAACAUCGCCUCUUGAUUCAUAUAAGAGGUCCAGCCUGCCCGGUGACAAAGUUUAACGGCCGCGGUAACCUAACCGCGCGAAGGUAGCAUAAUCACUUGUUCUUUAAAUAGGGACUAGUAUCAACGGCAUCACGAGGGUUACACUGUCUCCUCCCUCCAAUCAGUGAAACUGAUCUCCCCGUGAAAAAGCGUGGAUAAAGAUAUAAGACGAGAAGACCCCAUGGAGCUUUAAACCCAACAGCAACUCAGUAACAUAACCCCCCCAUAUUCUACAGAGAAAUGCACGUCGGUUUUAGGUUGGGGUGACCGCGGAGUAAAAACUAACCUCCACGACGAAAAGAACUAAAUCUUUAUCUAAGAACCACCGCUCUAAGAAUUAGUACACUAACGAACAAUGACCCAAUAAUUGAUCAACGAAACAAGUUACCCUGGGGAUAACAGCGCAAUCUACUUCAAGAGCCCAUAUCGACAAGUAGGCUUACGACCUCGAUGUUGGAUCAGGGUAUCCCAGUGGUGCAGCCGCUACUGAAGGUUC
This 538-nucleotide ribosomal RNA is filed under the name Gracixalus tianlinensis (Tianlin small tree frog). Its description in RNAcentral is "partial 16S ribosomal RNA". It matches the Rfam family "Bacterial large subunit ribosomal RNA", at positions 1808 to 2574 of the family's 2925-position model. Lineage: Eukaryota; Metazoa; Chordata; Amphibia; Anura; Rhacophoridae. The record is from RNAcentral.